UUGUAGCAUGUUUGACCAAGCUUAUUUCUGGCCAAAAGUGUUUUUUUUUUUCCAAAAACACUUUUGGCCAAAAAUUAAGGUGUUUGGCCAAGCUUUUGGAAGGAAAAAAGUGCUUUUGAGGAGAAGCAGAAACAGUUUUGGAGAAGCAGAAAAAAGUAGCUUCUUUCCAAAAGCACUUUUUUGAGAAAAAUACACUUAAAAGCAGUUUUUUAAAACUUGGCCAAACACUAAUUGCUGCUCAGAAGUGCUUUUCAAACUAAUUAGUCAAACACAAACUGGUGAGAAAGCACUUUUGAAAAAAAAUACUUUUCAAAAUAAGCUGAUUUUUGCAGCUUGACCAAACGGGCUAUUAGUCCAUACUGAUGAAAUAUGGAAUUGCUUUCCAAUUUCUCCUUUGUUCUUCCAGUUUUGACUUGGUCUGUGCUACAUUUCUGAGUUCUGUUGAAUUUUUCUUCACUGUCGCUUGCUUUGCCUGUUGUAUCCAUUUGUUAUUUGUUGCACCUCUUUGUUGGUAAUGGGUAUUUUGUGGAUAUCUCUUAUUUAUUGUUCUUUUGGAAUAUUUUUUCCACUGUGUACAUCUGCUUUUGACAUGCAUGUUUGGUUUCUUCAUGUAUAGGUUUAAACACGAUUUGGGCACAUUGAAUUAACAUCUGGAGCGAAAAUGACAUAAAAACAGACAAGAGCAUUGUUGCAGCCAAGGUAUUUGACCAUAUGCCGUAAAAAACUAUAUCUCGGCAUUAAAGGCUGAAAUGUUUGAAAUUGGGCUUCAAUAAUUGAGUUGGAGAUUUUGUUAACUGAUGGUUCUAAUGGCUAAUUGGCAAUUUUCUUAAUAUUUAUAUGGCCAAUUAAUACCCCUCAUUUUUUGAAUUUAUUUAUAGAUUAUGUAACUUUGAUGCAGGACCUCAAUCUAUUAUAUUAUAACUGCAGAUAGCAGAAAAAAGCAAGCACCUUAUGCUGGAGCUUUCUUUGGAAGAUGAACAACGCUAAUCGUAAUGUUUUGUCUGCUCAGAUACAAAGAAGACGUGUAUGAGCUCAAAGGAAAAACUUUAGUUAACGUUCUUCACGAAAUUGUGCGUGUUUGUUCAGAUUUGUUAUUACUGCUUUUCUUAUUAUGUUUCUUUACGCAACCCCAAGGAAUUGUUGGGGUUACUUUGGUGAGUAAUGAGAUUGCUCUAUUUUAAGAAAUUUUUAGGUUUGAGGAAUUUAUUAUUGAUGAACUACAAUUAAAGAAAAAUCGGAUGAGUGGGGUAAGACCAAAUGUGUAAGAAAUGAAAUGGAUUUUGAGUUGCACCACGCGUAAUUUAAAGUGUAAUAUGACUAGGUUGAUAUUUUGGGAAGUGUAACUCUUUAAAAUUAUAGUAAUGUGUAACUUAGUUGCAAGUAUUUUAUUUAAAGAUUUCGGAGGUUAAUUUGAUAAGUUUAUUGUCUUCACCUUUUUCAUGAAGUUUAUUUACUUAUUUAUCUUUUACUUGAUUGAAAAAUCUUUGAGAU
Molecule: long non-coding RNA, 1491 nt
Filed under: Nicotiana tabacum (common tobacco)
Lineage: Eukaryota; Viridiplantae; Streptophyta; Magnoliopsida; Solanales; Solanaceae
Description: long non-coding RNA (NTAB_LNC002786)
Source: RNAcentral